Carassius auratus (goldfish) is the source of this 1353-nucleotide non-coding RNA. NCBI's taxonomy places the organism in Eukaryota, Metazoa, Chordata, Actinopteri, Cypriniformes, Cyprinidae. The record is from the annotation of a RefSeq genome assembly.
CUGCCUGCCUCAAACUGAAACCACAAGCCACACGUUUUUAUGAUAUAAAAACCAUCUGCUAAACACUGAAACUAUGAAUUGCAUGCACUAUAAAUAGUAUCUGCUGAUCCUGAACACUUGGGAAAAGAAGGAUGAGGUCUAAAAUGGGCAAGGAAUGAAAUUUGGACUGUUGAAGGACAAAUGUGCUGAUGAAUAAUACGAAACUUGGGUCCCCUUAGCCGCCGGCCACUGUGUUUCCACUCUCAAGUCAAAUCCCAGCUGGUUGAGUCUGUUGGAAGACUUGUAAAUAAACGAAUUCAGUCCCUACUGGCGACAGUGUGAUAUGGCACACGGUUAUUGCUGGAUCUGUUCAACAGAAAAGUAACCUAAAAGUGUUUUAGCACCUCAGUGACCAAAAUCAAGAUUAAUAUUCAUUUUUUUCUUUCUUAGCCAUUAUUAAAAAUUCUGCAGGGAUGUUCGACAACAUGAAGCAACAGCAGAUGCUCUUUGGCACAAGCUGCACCUUUUUGUUCAAGAACAAAUGACUGUGGGAGACAAGAAAGUCUUCGGUCCGGGUACUCGACUUUAUGUUACAGGAAAUACUGAGUCGCCAAAAGUGUCUGGAUACCUACCGUCAAAGAAAUCCAGUGACAAAGAUGACAUUCACACAAUGUUAUGCCACGCAAGAGACAUGAUUCCUGACUUGGUGAAAUUCACAUGGCAAAAAAAGAGCGGAACAAAAGAUUGGGAGGAUGUGAAUGAAAAUGUUGUUGAACAGAGUUACAAAGUUAAAGUAAAUAAUAAAGAUCAAGUUAAAGCAGUGUCAAGUAUGAUGAUUAUAGAUAAAAACACGGCCGAAAACAACGACUACCAAUGCAUUGUUACCCAUGAGGGAGUCAAUGAGAAACCCCAAACUCUUUUAAUGAAGAAAGAUGAAAUUAAGCCGCCAAUGGUUCCUACGAAGAAAAAUUGUCCAGCCACUGAUGAGACCAUAAAAAAUCAAAUAUCAGGAGAUUCGGAGCAAAUACGCAGUCUGUACGUGUUUGUCUAUGCAUAUGGUGUCAUGAUCAUGAAGAACGUACUGUAUUUUUUUGUUGUGACUAUCUUUCUAUUAAAGAGAAAAGCUGCAAGAAAGAAAGAUGAAACCUCUUAGAGAUUUAAUGCUAAUAUAAGAUAAAUAUCAAUUAAGCAAAGGUUAUUAGCAAGUUUCGCUGACUAAAGAAUAGAUACAUAUCUGCAGCUAUAUUAUCUCUGCUUAACUGUAUUGCUUUUACAUUUGUAGUAGGUUUUCUUUGCAUAGUUUAGUUUUGCAUAUUUGAAAUGUAUCAUUUAGAUUAUUAAAAAUGUGUAAUGUACCCAAAUUUUUAAAAUGUG